This 460-nucleotide ribosomal RNA is filed under the name uncultured bacterium. Its description in RNAcentral is "partial 16S ribosomal RNA". It matches the Rfam family "Bacterial small subunit ribosomal RNA", at positions 338 to 795 of the family's 1533-position model. The record is from RNAcentral.
CCUACGGGUGGCUGCAGUGAGGAAUAUUGGUCAAUGGACGAGAGUCUGAACCAGCCAAGUAGUGUGAAGGAUGACUGCCCUAUGGGUUGUAAACUUCUUUUAUAUGGGAAUAAAACGUUCCACGUGUGGGAUUUUGUAUGUACCAUAUGAAUAAGGAUCGGCUAACUCCGUGCCAGCAGCCGCGGUAAUACGGAGGAUCCGAGCGUUAUCCGGCUUUAUUGGGUUUAAAGGGAGCGUAGGUGGAUUGUUAAGUCAGUUGUGAAAGUUUGCGGCUCAACCGUAAAAUUGCAGUUGAAACUGGCAGUCUUGAGUACAGUAGAGGUGGGCGGAAGUCGUGGUGUAGCGGUGAAAUGCUUAGAUAUCACGAAGAACUCCGAUUGCGAAGGCAGUUCACUGGACUGCAACUGACACUGAGGCUCGAAAGUGUGGGUAUCAAACAGGAUUAGAUACCCCAGUAGUC